CAACUUUCAACAACGGAUCUCUUGGCUCUUGCAUCGAUGAAGAACGCAGCGAAAUGCGAUAAGUAAUGUGUAUUGCAGAAUCCAGUGAAUCAUCGAAUCUUUGAACGCACCUUGCGCCCUUUGGUAUUCCGAGGGGCAUGCCUGUUUGAGAGUC
RNAcentral lists this ribosomal RNA (154 nucleotides) under Agroathelia delphinii. RNAcentral's name for it is "Sclerotium delphinii 5.8S rRNA". It matches the Rfam family "5.8S ribosomal RNA". From Rfam's summary of the family: 5.8S ribosomal RNA (5.8S rRNA) is a component of the large subunit of the eukaryotic ribosome. It is transcribed by RNA polymerase I as part of the 45S precursor that also contains 18S and 28S rRNA. Lineage: Eukaryota; Fungi; Basidiomycota; Agaricomycetes; Amylocorticiales; Amylocorticiaceae. The record is from RNAcentral.